AACUAUAACGGUCCUAAGGUAGCGAAAUUCCUUGUCAGGUAAGUUCUGACCCGCAUGAAAGGCGUAAUGAUUUGGGCACUGUCUCAACAGCCCGCCCGGCGAAAUUGUAGUACCGGUGAAGAUGCCGGUUACCCGCGACAAGACGGAAAGACCCCAUGGAGCUUUACUGUAGCCUAAUAUUGGGUUUCGAUGUUGCAUGCACAGGAUAGAUGGGACACUGGGAAACAAUCGCUUUGGCGGUUGCGGAGUGGCCGUUGGGAUACCAUCCUUGCGAUAUUGGAAUUCUAACCUGCGGCUCUGAAUCGAGUCGGGGGACAUUGUUAGGUGGGCAGUUUGACUGGGGCGGUCGCCUCCUAAAGAGUAACGGAGGCGUUCAAAGGUUCGCUCAGCUUGAACGGAAAUCAAGCAAAAGAGUGCAAACGCAGAAGCGAGCCUAACUGCGAGACUGACGGGUCGAGCAGUAACGAAAGUUGGAGUUAGUGAUCCGGUGGUAUGUGAGUGGAAAUGCCAUCGCUCAACGGAUAAAAGUUACCCUGGGGAUAACAGGCUGAUCUCCCCCAAGAGUCCACAUCGACGGGGAGGUUUGGCACCUCGAUGUCGGCUCAUCGCAUCCUGGGGCUGUAUUCGGUCCCAAGGGUUUGGCUGUUCGCCAAUUAAAGCGGUACGCGAGCUGGGUUCAGAACGUCGUGAGACAGUUCGGUCCCUAUCUGUCGUGGGCGCAGGAUAUUUGAUGGGAGCUGUCCCUAGUACGAGAGGACCGGGACGGACGUACCUCUGGCGCACCAGUUGUUCCGCCAGGAGCAUAGCUGGGCAACUACGUACGGAUCGGAUAAACGCUGAAAGCAUCUAAGCGUGAAGCCGACCCAAAGAUAAGAUAUCCCAUUGUUUUAAACAAGUAAGACCCCUUGAAGACUACAAGGUUGAUAGGCACGAUGUGUAAGUGGAGCGAUCCAUUCAGCAAGCGUGUACUAAUAGGUCGAGGGCUUGACCAC
RNAcentral lists this ribosomal RNA (992 nucleotides) under human gut metagenome. Its description in RNAcentral is "bacterial LSU rRNA". It matches the Rfam family "Bacterial large subunit ribosomal RNA", at positions 1938 to 2925 of the family's 2925-position model. The record is from RNAcentral.